RNAcentral lists this ribosomal RNA (403 nucleotides) under bacterium. RNAcentral's name for it is "partial 16S ribosomal RNA". It matches the Rfam family "Bacterial small subunit ribosomal RNA", at positions 355 to 776 of the family's 1533-position model. The record is from RNAcentral.
UGGGGAAUCUUGCACAAUGGGGGAAACCCUGAUGCAGCGACGCCGCGUGAGCGAUGAAGGUUUUCGAAUCGUAAAGCUCUGUCCUAUGGGAAGAUAAUGACGGUACCAUAGGAGGAAGCCCCGGCUAACUACGUGCCAGCAGCCGCGGUAAUACGUAGGGGGCGAGCGUUGUCCGGAAUUACUGGGCGUAAAGGGUUCGCAGGCGGCAUGACAAGUCCGAUGUAAAAGGCGAAAGCUCAACUUUCGUAAGCAUCGGAAACUGUCAAGCUUGAGUGAAGGAGAGGCAAGUGGAAUUCCUAGUGUAGCGGUGGAAUGCAUAGAUAUUAGGAGGAAUACCGGUGGCGAAGGCGACUUGCUGGACUUCAACUGACGCUGAGGAACGAAAGCGUGGGUAGCAAACAGG